CAGCACUCUUGGUGACUGAUGAAGGACAGUCUUCUAAAUUGCAGAAGAAUUAGAUCCAGCUCUAAGGAUCGAUUUCUUGACCUCAGAGGUAUCUAAUCCUCAGAUGUCUUUGUUCCCGUAAUCACUGGUUUGGAUGUUUUGCUUGUGGAUUUGCAAAGGGAGGUUUCUGCUGAUGUCUGCUCGAAGGGGGAUGUGCACUUCGACUAAUGGAAGUCACCUCAGGAUGAUAAGAGUUCAGAUCGCCGGGAGUUACAGUCUUUGUGCAACGAUUUCCUACCUCACUCCAUCAAAGGCUUGCAAGCACUGUGCUGAAUACACCACCGCUCAAAAAGAAAACCGGGAUAAAGAGUAACCCUGAAGGUAAGAGAUGACGAAGAGACGCUGUCUUUUGUGGGGAAUGUGAUGCAGAUCUCGCACCGUGUGGUGAUGGGGGCAGAGACAUUGAGAGGACGGUGUGUUUCAGUCACGUCAGGGCUCUGUCUCAUUGCAGGAGUACAGCACACAUGGGAAUCAUUCUAAUUCUUUAUAAAAAAAAUAAAUAUAAGGAAACCCAGAGAGAGG
Molecule: long non-coding RNA, 561 nt
Filed under: Coturnix japonica (Japanese quail)
Lineage: Eukaryota; Metazoa; Chordata; Aves; Galliformes; Phasianidae
Description: lncRNA (ENSCJPG00005005079.1)
Source: RNAcentral